GCCCUGUGAUCCCCAGCCUGAAACUGGCAGUCAGAUUUCACAGGCUUCAGACCACAGAGGAGCACUAGGACCCCACCAGAGGUGGUCCUGAGGCUGAGCUGAAGGCCCUGGGGAUGGGCUAUGCAAGCUGAUUGCUCACUGCGAGUAGCAAGAGGUCAGUGCCCAAAAAGGUAAAGAAAACCUCAUGCAGUAUGCUUGCUUCUCCUCAUGGGCAGCCCAUUUGGAUACCCUGGAAAUUGAACCUAAUUUAAAAGGACAUGGCUCUUCUCAGAGACUACGUUCAUGUUCAUUUCUACAUGGCACUGCUCUGUUUGAAAUUCUGUGAUUUGAUGUACACUGACUUGAGCAUCCCCUGUUAAAUUUUCCCAUCUUCUGUGCCAUAGUUCUAUGUUGUUUCGGGUGUGCAGAAAUCCAUUCUUCAUGCGCUAAUAUACAGACCACAAAUUUGGCAGAAACAAUAAUGGUGACCAAACAGCAACACCGUUGUGUGAGUGUCUUCUCAUUCUACCAGGCACAUAAUUAUUUUUGAACCAGUCAGUAACUUUGCUGGCUUCUUCAGGCAAAUGUGGCUUUAAUUUAUUAAAAGCUCCUCAAAUACCAUCAGCUGGAUGGAAUACUAAUGUGAGCAAAUCAGGCAAUUUUAAACUAAAGUUUUUGUUGUUGCCAUAUUGUGUGGCCAACUCAAUCAUCUGAAUUUUAUGCCAAAUGCAUUGGGCUGAGUGGAAAAAACAAAACUUUGUUGGUAACACCUUCAAAUUUGCUUUUAGAAGCCUUGAUUGUACCUAAUUCCAAAUAUAUUAUUGUGGUUUGGGGAUUCAAAUGAAAUCCAUUUUCUUCUGCAUAAAGACAACAACAAGGUAAUACUUCCAUCUAACAUGAUGCAAUUUUCCUGUAAUUGUGAUUUUCAGGAUUUUAGACAUUAGGGAUUUAGACUUUAGGGAUUUUGAUUUUUUGGGAUUUUGACAUUUGGAAUUAUGGCAUUCCAGAUUGUGUGUUUUGGGAUUAUAAUCCAAAUUCAAUGAGUCUCUACUACUUAAUUUAACAUAACUUUAAGAUUUCAAAUCACAUAAAUAGGUCAUUUAUGAAAUGUAUCCCAUUUACAUUUACCAAAUGUAUUUAUUUCUAACAAUUGUGUCUAGAUUAAUCAUGAAAACUAGGUUAGACAAAGCUAGUCAUCAUCUUGUUAUUUUUCUGCUAGCCAUUUUAUAACCUGUGAAUAUCAUGUGCUCACCUAAGUAAUAACCUUAAAGUUAAAUAUAUGGUAUUUUGCCAAUAACUCAGAAGUUACAGCUGGUUUUAUUAAACCAAUAAUAUUAGUCUUACAUAUCAAAGAAUUGACAAAGAUCAUUUUGUUUUAAGCUCAGUUUACAGUUUUAUAAUCUUUAUGUCAAACUCUAACACCUUAAAACUUUUUGGUAGAGAUGACUAUAAAGCUGUCUGACCAGUAAACACAGGCAAAAAUGUAUGCUGAAAAAUUUUAAGGCAUUUCUAUUUUUUAUUUUAACCAACAUUUUAAAAACCAGCUUACUUAUCAAAGAUUUGCUUAAGUCAUAUAAACUAAAAGGUAUUUGGGUUAAUUGCUACAUAUUUUAUAUGAGUGCUCAUUUAUUAAAGUCAAUCUGAAUAUAAUUCCUUAAGGGAUUUCUGGAUGAGUAUGCCAGAUUAUAACAUGUAAAUAUAGCAUAUAACAUAAUAUAUGCACAUAUGGGUAGAUACACCUAGACAUAUAUACAUACACACAGAGAUCUUAUAGCUUUCACUUUAGAAUUUUAGGCAUGAGACACAAAACUUAGAGAUUCACCAGUUUUGACAGUUGGGUCAAAAUUAUAUUUUUGGCAAGAUGGGAUCUGUUCAUGUGGCUAAACUUUAUUUGCCCUCAUAGGUAAUCUAAUAAGGAUGCAGACCAAAACUGUGGGUGAAGUAAUGUGGUUAAAAAAAAAAAAAAACCUCUUUCUUUUUUUCUAUUUUUUAAGGUUUCAAAUGAGUUUAGGUUUAAAUUUUCAAUAUUUACAUUUUAGCUAGGACUGGCUGAAUUUUAUAAGAAAAAAAACCCCAAAUCUCCAAAUAGUCUUUUUAGCAACAAACCUAUAUUUUGUUUUCUGGUUUGGUUUGCUUGACAGUUGAUGCAGGUGGAGAAACAUUUUAGCAGGUUUUCUUUGCUUCUUUUCUUUUUGGCCUCUGCAUAGCAGACAAUGCAAAAUUUAUGCCCGACAAAGACACCUUAUAUUAUUGCACUGAGCUCAAGAUUUUGACCUGUUUGAUCUGAGAGUAUAACUUUCAAAAACAUUUGUCUAGUUCUUCCCUUUCAGACUAUCAAUCCUUGGAUGAACUGUUCCAUCACCAUAAACAACUGCUAGUCAAGCAAACCUAAAUAUGCAUUUCCAAAAGGUGUCUAGGCUGUUGGUUACCACGGAGCUAUUUUAAUUAGUAAAGCCAUUAAACAGAAAGUCCUGUGAGACUCUUUUAAAACCUUGGCUGAAAUGCCACAAGCAAUGAGUUUUAUCUCAACAUCAGUAGAAAAGUUGACAAAUUAAAAGUCGGCAGAAAAGAAACAGAGAUAGGGAGGUUAGAAGGCUCUACAUGUUAACUCUAUAGUUGCAAGGUUUUUUAAAAAACAGCUUGAGUAAUGAUAAUUUGGGCUCUGAAUUUUUCUUGAUGUAAUUUGCCCAUCAAUGUUUAAAUUGCACAUGAGAAUAGGCCAUAAUAUGUGGACAGUGGGAGUCCCAGAAAACUUGGCAUGCUUUAAUGUUUGAAAAUUCUGUUUCUUAUUAAUUUCUCAAAAACAAAGAAAAUGCUAUAAAUUCUUUC
Gorilla gorilla gorilla (western lowland gorilla) is the source of this 2808-nucleotide long non-coding RNA. RefSeq lists it as uncharacterized. The record is from RefSeq and is a predicted model, not a curated record. The transcript is spliced from 3 exons. Lineage: Eukaryota; Metazoa; Chordata; Mammalia; Primates; Hominidae.